CAGUCGCCGCGGUAAAACGGAGGGUGCAAGCGUUAAUCGGAAUUACUGGGCGUAAAGCGUGCGUAGGCGGUGAGUUAAGUCUGCUGUGAAAUCCCCGGGCUCAACCUGGGAAUGGCAGUGGAUACUGGCUCGCUAGAGUGUGUCAGAGGAUGGUGGAAUUCCCGGUGUGGCGGUGAAAUGCGUAGAGAUCGGGAGGAACAUCAGUGGCGAAGGCGGCCAUCUGGGACAACACUGACGCUGAGGCACGAAAGCGUGGGGAGCAAACAGGAUUAGAUACCCGCGUAGUCCCUGUCUCUUAUAC
This 301-nucleotide ribosomal RNA is filed under the name uncultured bacterium. RNAcentral's name for it is "partial 16S ribosomal RNA". It matches the Rfam family "Bacterial small subunit ribosomal RNA", at positions 509 to 807 of the family's 1533-position model. The record is from RNAcentral.